This 429-nucleotide ribosomal RNA is filed under the name Gemmatimonadota bacterium. Its description in RNAcentral is "Gemmatimonadetes bacterium partial 16S ribosomal RNA". It matches the Rfam family "Bacterial small subunit ribosomal RNA", at positions 355 to 776 of the family's 1533-position model. Lineage: Bacteria; Pseudomonadati; Gemmatimonadota. The record is from RNAcentral.
UAGGGAAUCUUCGGCAAUGGACGAAAGUCUGACCGAGCAACGCCGCGUGAGUGAAGAAGGUUUUCGGAUCGUAAAACUCUGUUGUUAGAGAAGAACAAGGACGUUAGUAACUGAACGUCCCCUGACGGUAUCUAACCAGAAAGCCACGGCUAACUACGUGCCAGCAGCCGCGGUAAUACGUAGGUGGCAAGCGUUGUCCGGAUUUCUUGGGCGUAAAGCGAGCGCAGGCGGUUUCUUAAGUCUGAUGUGAAAGCCCCCGGCUCAACCGGGGAGGGUCAUUGGAAACUGGGAGACUUGAGUGCAGAAGAGGAGAGGGGAAUUCCAUGUGUAGCAGUGAAAUGCAUAGAUAUAUGGAGGAACACCAGUGGCGAAGGCGGCUCUCUGGUCUGUAACUGACGCUGAGGCUCGAAAGCGUGGGGAGCAAACAGG